This 503-nucleotide ribosomal RNA is filed under the name uncultured bacterium. Its description in RNAcentral is "partial 16S ribosomal RNA". It matches the Rfam family "Bacterial small subunit ribosomal RNA", at positions 28 to 507 of the family's 1533-position model. The record is from RNAcentral.
GACGAACGCUGGCGGCGUGCUUAACACAUGCAAGUCGAACGGCGAAGCGCUUUCCUUUUUGUUUGGCGUGUAUGAGUGGCGACCGGGUUAGUAACACGUGAGUAACCUUCCCCCUUCUUCUGGAUAACCGCAUGAAAGGACGGCUAAUACGGGAUAUUCUGCUCCUUCUGCAUUGCGGGUGUGGGGAAGAUUGUGCCUCUGUGUGUUUUCGGUGGGGGAUGGGCUCGCGGCCUAUCAGCUUGUUGGUGGGGUGAUGGCCUACCAAGGCGGUGACGGGUAGGCGGCCUGAGAGGGUGGACGGUCACACUGGGACUGAGACACGGCCCAGACUCCUACGGGAGGCAGCAGUGGGGAAUAUUGCACAAUGGGCGCAAGCCUGAUGCAGCGACGCCGCGUGAAGGAUGGAGGUCUUCGGGUUGGGAACCUCUUUCGCCAGGGAAGCAGGCCGGGUCCUUGUGGGUGGGUUGACGGUAGCUGGAUAAGAAGCGCCGGCUAACUACGUG